Paramuricea clavata is the source of this 469-nucleotide non-coding RNA. The record is from the annotation of a GenBank genome assembly. Lineage: Eukaryota; Metazoa; Cnidaria; Anthozoa; Malacalcyonacea; Plexauridae.
GUUUUUAGUGUUAAGUUUCUUCGAAACUUCACAGUAUUGUGAUGACUGGGGGGAAAUUCAAACGAAACAGUCAUUCAAUCAAUCAUUCAUUCAUUCAUUCAUUCAGUCAGUCAGUCAUACAGUAAACUUUCCGGGGGGUGUUUACGGUAUAUGUUCUUAGUGAACACACAGAAUAUGUUCUUAGAGAACAUACAGAAUAUGGCAACCGACAACGCAAGCAGAUCACAGCCGGAUAAAAACUCUACUAACACAACAGAUUAUUGGAUGAACAGUGUAAAUAUUACACUAUCUAUUCCUCCAGAUUUAACUCUUGAAAAGGGGAAACUCAAAUGGCUCAAUAACUUUGAGGAUCUAAAACUAUUUGUCGAAACAACUCUACAAAUAGGGGGAACUUGGUCAUCGCCGGGUGGUUAUCUCAAGGCAUUUAGCGAAGAUCCUGAAAGUGUUCUGAUUAGGUAUUAUACCGACA